RNAcentral lists this ribosomal RNA (274 nucleotides) under uncultured bacterium. Its description in RNAcentral is "partial 16S ribosomal RNA". It matches the Rfam family "Bacterial small subunit ribosomal RNA", at positions 523 to 796 of the family's 1533-position model. The record is from RNAcentral.
AUACGAAGGGGGCUAGCGUUGUUCGGAAUUACUGGGCGUAAAGCGCGCGUAGGCGGAUUGGUCAGUUAGGGGUGAAAUCCCAGGGCUUAACCCUGGAACUGCCUCUAAUACUGCCAGUCUUGAGUUCGGGAGAGGUGAGUGGAAUUCCUAGUGUAGAGGUGAAAUUCGUAGAUAUUAGGAAGAACACCAGUGGCGAAGGCGGCUCACUGGCCCGAUUCUGACGCUGAGGCGCGAAAGCGUGGGGAGCAAACAGGAUUAGAUACCCCAGUAGUCC